Molecule: ribosomal RNA, 433 nt
Filed under: uncultured bacterium
Lineage: Bacteria
Description: partial 16S ribosomal RNA
Rfam family: Bacterial small subunit ribosomal RNA
Source: RNAcentral
AACGAACGCUGGCGGCAUGCCUAACACAUGCAAGUCGAACGAGACCUUCGGGUCUAGUGGCGCACGGGUGCGUAACGCGUGGGAACCUGCCCUUAGGUUCGGAAUAACUCCCCGAAUGGGGUGCUAAUACCGGCUAAUGUCUUCGGACCAAAGAUUUAUCGCCUUUGGAUGGGCCCGCGUUGGAUUAGCUAGUUGGUAGGGUAAAAGCCUACCAAGGCGACGAUCCAUAGCUGGUCUGAGAGGAUGAGCCGCCACACUGGGACUGAGACACGGCCCAGAAUCCUGCGGGAGGGAGCAGUGGGGAAUAUUGGACAAUGGGGGAAAGGCUGAUCCAGCAAUGCCGCGUGAGUGAUGAAGGCCUUAGGGUUGUAAAGCUCUUUUACCCGGGAUGAUAAUGACAGUACCGGGAGAAUAAGCUCCGGCUAACUCCGUG